GAACGAACGCUGGCGGCAUGCCUAACACAUGCAAGUCGACCGAGACCUUCGGGUCUAGUGGCGCACGGGUGCGUAACGCGUGGGAACCUGCCCUUAGGUUCGGAAUAACUCCCCGAAAGGGGUGCUAAUACCGGAUAAUGUCUUCGGACCAAAGAUUUAUCGCCUUUGGAUGGGCCCGCGUUGGAUUAGCUAGUUGGUAGGGUAAAAGCCUACCAAGGCGACGAUCCAUAGCUGGUCUGAGAGGAUGAUCAGCCACACUGGGACUGAGACACGGCCCAGACUCCUACGGGAGGCAGCAGUGGGGAAUAUUGGACAAUGGGCGAAAGCCUGAUCCAGCAAUGCCGCGUGAGUGAUGAAGGCCUUAGGGUUGUAAAGCUCUUUUACCCGGGAUGAUAAUGACAGUACCGGGAGAAUAAGCGCCGGCUAACUCCGUG
This 434-nucleotide ribosomal RNA is filed under the name uncultured bacterium. RNAcentral describes it as "partial 16S ribosomal RNA". It matches the Rfam family "Bacterial small subunit ribosomal RNA", at positions 27 to 507 of the family's 1533-position model. The record is from RNAcentral.